Loxodonta africana (African savanna elephant) is the source of this 1467-nucleotide long non-coding RNA. RefSeq lists it as uncharacterized. The transcript has 3 exons. The record is from RefSeq and is a predicted model, not a curated record. NCBI's taxonomy places the organism in Eukaryota, Metazoa, Chordata, Mammalia, Proboscidea, Elephantidae.
CACCCCCAUCCUGCAGAAAAGAAAAACUGAGGCCCAGAGAGAUACGGGGACUAGAAAAAGAGGCACAGGAUGAGGGAGGGGCAAGAAUUCCAUCCCAGCGUUUAUUUAUAGCAGGCUCUAGCCUAGAAGAGACAGAAGGGAAAUAGGAGCAAGGAGUGAGUUCUUUCUGAGUGCUGGGACCCAAAGGUAUAUGGUCCUCCCCUAGCUGGUGCAGGGGACCUGGGGUGAGGAGGCCCUUAGCUGGGCCUUGGGGGCCUGUCCUGAUAGUGCAGGAUGGGGAGAUGGUCUGGGUCCCUGAUAGCCUGUUUGGCUCCCCUGCAAACAAGAGCCAGGGCUAUGGGGUUUAAUCAGGGCCCCUGCAGAGUUGUUCCUGUUGGCAGGCAUCACAUGGAGGGUCCUUGGUAGUCUGGAGCGGGACUGUCGGGGGAGGGUCUCAGGUCUCUGGCUCAGGCCUAGCCUCAUGGAGACUUAAGUGUCUUGCAGUGCCCCUGUCCCACCAGAGCUGAAGAUCCCUGGGGACCCCAAGUGGCCUAGGUCCUGAAUCCUUGAAAGGGGGUGAAGGUCGACCAGACAGUCACCUGCACCCUCAAGCAGGGAGAGGACAGGGAGAACUUAUGGGAGAGGGGAAGGAUCGGGUGGGAGCUGCCCCACAAGUGUAUGAGUGGGACGCGGGGUCACGCGCACAAGCAGUCCACAAGCUGCCAGGCCCAAUGUGCACGUGUGCAUGCCAGGCCAGUGGACACCACCUGGGUACUUUGAACUUACUUCUCUCCCUUUAAUUAGGUUUUUUUCUUUCUUCCCUAGACAGGUUUCUUCAUCUGUCCUUUGUAUGGAUGUUUGUCCUUCUUCCUUUUUUUUGUUUGGUGUUUGGUUUUUUGCAUGUUUACUUUCUGUUUCUAUUAGAAUGUGGUUGGAUUCUUUUUGAUACACUUUUUAACUUUUGUGUCGUCUGUCCUUCUGACCUACAGUUUGGGGAUUGAGGUUUUUGUAGUUACAGCCACUUUUCUCUACCUGCUAACUUGGUGGGGAGGAGACACGGGAGUUUCUGUUAGGGUUCUCUGCAGCCUUUACUGGUAAACCUGCGUUCUGCCUUCUCCUGAGAUUUUGUGUAAUGUUCUGAUCUAGAUUUCGUUCUUCCUCAUUGAGGGCAUUUCUUAAUAUGGUGUGGGUACCUCAGUCAUUCUUCCAAAUUUGUGGAACUCUGGAAAAGAGCUAAGAUCCUGAGAGUCUGUGGAUGUGAUGGAACCAAAGAUGCGUCUUAGAUGGCCACUCACAAGCUUUUAAGACGCUACUCACCAAGAUCCUGUCACUGUGAUGCAAUAAGGUGGAUUAGCGACAAUUAUAUUGAUGAGGUCUACAAGAUUAGGUGGUGUCUUAAGCCAAUCUCUUUUGAGAUAUAAAAGAAAGAAGCUAGCAGAGAGACGUGGGAACCUCAUAACUCCAAGAAAGAAGCACCAGGAGCAGAGC